GCUCUGGGAAGGGGAGGGGAAGGCACGUAACCUGCUACUCUAGCGCCACCCAUCCCUCAUUACCUCUGCCCUGGUCCCCCUCCCGGUCUCUCUCCAGAGCCAUUGGGUGGGGCCUGUCGAGGGCCGCCGCCUCGCCCACCUUCCAUAGUCAAGCCGGGAGUGGAUAAGUGCUCAUUCCCGGGGAGGCCCCGGGGACCGGACAAGCCAGGGGCAGAAGAGGGUUCUGCAGAAGCCGGGGUACCAGACCCACACUGGGCGCGCCCAUAUGUGAAUAAGUGGGCGGGGCCCUCGUGGUGGUAAACGGGGGCGGGGUGCGAGAUGUAAAUAAGCCCUGGGCGGAGAUCUUUUCUGAGCAUUAGGGCCUGGGAAGGGGAUGCCAGGUAUUUUUCUUUAACCGAGUCCUCAGUUCUGCCUUUGUUGAAGAUGGUGCCGUUUAUGCAUGCUCUAACUGAUUCUUGUGAAGGCUAAAGUAUAAGUGCCUGGCACGAUGACCCUUAACUGCUGAGUUAUCGUCCUUUCUUAUUUCUGCACUGUUCAGGCAAUGCUCUUAGGCCCCAACAUCACGCGUCUGCAGUACAAGCCGCUAAGCUGCUGACUGCCCAAAGCUGGUGGGGUCAUAACCGCACUUACGUAACCUUAUCGCUUUUGCCUUUCGGACCCCCGUCACCUGCUGAAACACUGAACCCAACUAAUCACAUCAAGCACUUUAUUAAGCACCUACAAUGUUAGGCAGGGAGCACCAUAGAACUAAAGUUAAAAAGAAACUUAGGUCUCACGUAGUUGGUGGCAGAGACAAGACUAAAACAGAGUUGUCUGGUUCACUGUCCAGCACUCCUUCUCAUGUACUCCAUACUUCGUGGAUUUAACAGGGGACUCAAGAUAAAGCGUCACUACCAAUUCAAAUCAGUAAGCAGGAAGUACCAAACGACCAUUUCAAACAGUAAGAGUGCUUAAAAUAUACUCUUUCUUUUCAGAAGUGAAGGCAUCCCUGAGGAGAGUACCUUCAGAUGGACCUGGAGAGAGAUUUGGCCAUCUUCUGAGUCUUACAGAAGAUACAACUCAUAUUCCAUCUUUACUCUGCUAAAUCUAUGAAGCUCUUCCUGGUUACUCCAGCCCAAAGGAAUCACUCACCUAUGAGUUUUUUCUCAUGAUUGUAAAUUCCUGAAGGACAAGGACAAUGGCUUGUUCUCAGUUGUUUUCCCACACCCUAAGAUAAAAAAACACCAUGUAAUUGAAGAAAUGUGAAAUGCAGCAUUUGCAUAGCAGAAGGCUGUAUGUGUGUCAGAGGUCUGCAAGCAUUCUACACCACUUUGCCCCGUCUUUCCAGUUUGUAGUUGCCCUCAAUAUAAUUAUUGAGUAUCUUGUGACCAUCUGAUCUCUAUAUUUGCUCAUCCUCUUGGAACUAAGUUGUAGUGAACAUUACAUUUUAAAGAUCCAGUUAUUUGCAACUGAAAGGACACUGAUUAAAUGAGGUAAUCUAAGUAAAAAUUGUAAAGAGCAAAUGUGUGGGGUUACUUUUGUUGUAAAUGAUAAAGAAGAAACCCAACACCAGCUGGAUUUUUAUCUUAAUACAAUGAAAUUUCAUAUUUUAAAUGAACUUAUGUUGAAGAUGUGUACACCUGCCUCUACAAACAUAGCCACAUACAGAAUCCUCAUUCACAUGCUAAUUUUUAUUAAUAAUUAAAAAUAUUUAACAUCUGAUGGGAAAUGCUGGAGGCAAGAAUAAAGCAGAUACAAGACAAAAGAUUAAUUUCAGCAAGUAUUUAUCAGGUAUCUGUUAUGUGCCUAUCAUAAAAGCAUUGGUUGAUCAUGGUGGGUAAUUCUCAUUCCAUGGCCAAAAUCAUUCAAGAAAACAAAGCAUGCAAGAAAGUUUUUUUUUGUUUUUUUGUUUUUUUGUUUUUUUAGAUUUAAAGAGAAUGAGAUUGGGAGAGAAGUUGGCAAUGGUAGAGAGAAAAACAUUUGGAGAAAAGUUAUUUUUCUCAUCAUUCUCCAGGCAUCUGAUAAUUAAUGUUUCUUUACAUUUAAAAGCAUAAAGAAUCAUUUGAUAAUUUAUCAUUGGAUAGCUAAUCUAAUGAUUGUUCAAACAUUACCUGGAAAAUUGCAAUACAAUUCCAAUGCAAUGAUCACUCCCAUAAGGCAUUUAAACAGUAUCUGAAAUCUACAUAUUUUGGAAAAACUAAACAGGGACCAGUAUCUAAACCCUGGAAGAACAAUGGACAAAUUUUUAAAGUUCUGUUGUGAAGGGGAUAAUUCAGUAGUCAUAUGUCAACAAUAAGACCAUAUGCCUUGUUUAUAAUUGUCUGUGUGACAAUAUUGACCGAGCCAGGCUGCUGCUAGGCAAGAUAAGCAUGAAGGUAUAAUACUCUUGGAAAAUUUCAAGCAUAUUAGCAUAAUUGCUCUGAUGAAGACUAAAGAGCUUAUUUAGCAUAACUGGCUAGGGUAGACAAUAGAGGCAUAAUCAGUGUCCUAAUGAUUGCAUUAAUAAGCCCCAAUUGUUUGUCCUUACUGUAAACAGUCCUCAGCUAUGAAAAAGACAUUUUGCCAAAAGAGUCUGACAGUUGUGUUAGAUGAUGAGUCGCCAGGAUGUAAUGAAUGAUGGGAGAGAGCUUAUUACUGUUGGGUCAUAAAGACUUCAGGAGUCUUUCAAGAGGUGAAUUAUAUAGCUCUGUAGAAGUUUCUUAUCAGUUCCUCCUUGCCUUCGUACAAUAAUGGAGCCUGAUCAAUUCUCUUACUCUGCAGCUAAGGAAACCAAGAGCCAGGCUCUUCCAAAGCCCUAUGGCCACUUAGCGCCAGGGGUUAUACAUACAGAGUCUACCUCUCCUGCUCGGACACUGCCUGCUGACCCUCUUACCUGUCCCUGGUCUAUUCCCUCACCCAUGCCUUUGCCACCCUCUCCAGUCUCCCUUUUCUCUUCUAUGCAUACGUCCUGACCAACUAUUUCGCAGUGAAAAUAGGGGCAAAUAUCCUCUCCACACCUAAACCCCAACACCAGACAAAUAUGUCUGUCUCCCAGUCUGUUCACCCAGCCAUUUCUUGUGGGCGACCAGCUCCUCCUCCUGGGGAAGUCUUUCGCUUCUACCCAUCCUCUGUUCCCUUGACUACCCAGCCUACAUUAGAACCACCGCCCUCCACACCAGUCACACUGUCAUAUCACCUUCUAAAAUUUGUCUUCAAAACGCUUAUCAUUAUCUGGACUUAUCAUGUUCAUUUAUUUCUGUACUGAUUUAUCAUUUGUCACUUCUUCCUAUCGAAUGUAAGCUCUAUAAGAACAGGAAACAUGUCUGUUGUUUGCUGGAGCAUCGCCACUCAAGCGUGUCUAUUUUGCUCACCAUCUUGUCCCUGAUUCAAGCAUACGUGGAGGCACUCAAUACAUAUUUUUGAAUGGAUGGAUAAUUUCCCCUCAAAUUCACUCCAACUCAAAGCAUGUGAAAACUGAAAUCAUCUCCUGUCUUCCUCUCUGGAUGUGUUCUAGCCCAGUCCCCGAGAAAACAGAGCCUGAUGCGAGGAUGCUGAUGCUUGAUUUAAGAGAUAUUAUCCCAGGGCAGGGACAGGGGAAAGGCAAGGAAGCCUGGCAAGCAAUGCAUAGUGCUGCAUUACUGGGCUGAACACUGCUUCAUGACGAGCCCUGAGGAGAUGCAGCCAGUCCCUUGACAGGUACAACCAGUUGACCAGACAGACACUAUGGAGGAAUCAUGCCUUGGAACAAUCUGAGGAAGGAAGGAAUUUUAUCUUUAUGUCUCCUGUCUCCACUUGGUCAAACUUGAUUCCACAGGGAGCAAACUUUCCCAUACUUACCAGUUUUGCUAUCCGUAUUAUUUAAUAGCCACUUAGAAAGCCAGAUCCCUCCCUUCCCUGGAGUCCAGAAGAGAUGGAAAGAAACUACUGGUAUGUGUCUGGUCUGCCUUGGGCAGUCAGACCACACCCUAAGUCACUCAUAGUGGCAGCUGAGUCAGAGCAAGAGACCCAGAAAAUCGAAGACACAUACACAGGGCCUAACAUAGAGCUGUUGUCACCACAGCAAAGGUAGGAGCAGGUCUGCCUUAUUCACUGCAUUGUACCCAGCACCUCCCACAAUGAGUCGCUAAUUAAAUUUUUGUUGAAGGAGUAGUUGCAUGCAUACAUGACGUCACCAUCUCUGCCUUAUUCAAGACAAAACCUUGAAGUCAUGCAUGAUCUUCCUUCUUUCUUAAUUCCUGUAUAUCAAAAUGAGGAGGAAAAUUCCUCUCGGCUCUCCCUCCUUAAUACAUCGCAGACCCAGUGCCUCUUGCCCAAAGCUCACUGCCUUGAUUCAGACCUUCAGUAUCUUUCAGUGGAAUGACUGCUGGAGCCCCUUAACUGGUCUUCCCAUCUGUAGUCUUGCUCUCCUCCAGUUCAUUCUUCCUGCUUCCUUUUUUAAUAGCAUAUUUUCUAAAUGCAAGUCUGAUAAUGUCACUAUCUUGGUUAAAUUGAUAGAGAUUUUUUUAAGGUAGAAUCAAAAAUCUUUAGCAUAACCUAAAAGAUCCUUCAUGAUCUGUCCUAGGCUAGUCUCUCUAGCUUUACACCUCACCGCUCCCCACCUUGCACUUAUACCCGAGCCAGACUGGAUUCCUGACAUUUUCCCAGUGCACCAUGCUGUCUCAUUGCUCAAUGCCUAUGCUGUGCUCUUUGUUCUGCCUGGAAUGCAUUUGUGCCUGAGGAACCUCUACUCAUACUUCAAAACACUGUCUCCAUGUAGCCCCAUUCAUCCACUGAUCAGUCCGUCCAUCUGCCCACUCACGCAUCCAGUAUUCAUUGUAACAGUCAGAUUUCUUGUUGCAAGCAGCAGAAGAAACUGACUUUGCCGGCUUGAGGAGAAAAGAGAAUUUGUGAAAGAAUAUUGGGUGGCUGACAAUAUUUCUGGGAAGUCUGCAGACACAGGCUCAGACAGUAAGCAAGAACAAGGAAGUCUGGGCAGCAGCUUGGAUCGCAACCAAUAUCACAGCACAGCACAUCGAGGGAGGCCACCACCUCCACUCAGAACAGGAUACCUCAGCUGACCUUCCGGUUCCGUGGCACUGAACACAGGUACCACCCACCACUGGCAUUCCCAGCUCUGUUGCUCUGGAAACCGGAUGUCACUGCAGUGCCCAUUACUGCCACCAGAACGGAUUCUCCACCAAACCUACGUUGCAUUACGGGAGCUCCCUCUUCGAAGCCUGUGGCGAAUCCAUUAGGUUUACUAAGCUUAACGUGUUCCUUGCGCUAGUUGUUGGUAGGUGUGGCAAAGUAUGUAGUAAUUGGCUUCUAUGUAGUAAUUGGGAUCUACUUCUUUCCAGCAAUGACUAGAUAAUCCCACCCAAAAAGGAAAGAGGGUCAGAUUUGGGGAAUCCCCCAGAUGACAAAUGUCCACUAUGUUCUCAGAUUUGCUCAACAAAUAAAUUUAUAUCUGCCCGUGCCAGGUUGUCUUUGAGGCACUAGGGAUACAGAAAUGAUUGUGGUGACUGCACCCACUUUGAUGUAUGGUCAAAAAGACAGAAAAUAUCAAGUGUUGGCAAGGAUGGAGAGAAAUCAAUGGGAGGAAUAUAAAAUGGUGGACUUUUGAAAACAGUCUGAAGUUCCUCAAAAGAGAUUAAAGAGUAACCAUAUGAUCCAACAGUUCCACUCCUAGGGUACCCCCAUGAGAAAUGGCAGCAUGUGCCCAAAAUAUUACCGACAGUCGUUCAGAGCAGCAUUAUUCAUAAAAGCCAAAAAAGUGGAAACAGCUGAAGUGCCCGUCAACUGAUGAAUGGACAAAGACCCCACGGUGCAAUAUUAUUUGGCUAUGAAAAGGAAUGAAGUACAGAGGCAUGCUAGCACGUGGAUGAACCUUGAAAACAUUAUGCUCAGUGAAAGAAGCCAGUCACGUUGGUAGGAAACAUCCAGCAAAGGCAAAUCUACACAGACAGAAGGUGGUGGUUGGCCAGGUCUGCGAGUGGAGGGGGCUCGGAUUGGGAGGACUGCUAACGGAUACAGGGUUCCUUGCUGGAGUAAUAAAACUACUCUAAAAUUAAACUGUGGUGUUAAUUGUAUAAAUCUGUGAAUACUAAAAACUAUUGCAUACUUCAAAUGAGUGAGUUGUGCAGUACGUGAAUCAUGCCUCUAUAAAGCUUUUUUUAAAAAAAGAAUUAGAUAGAAAGCCUCUCCUUCCUCAAGUAGCUGACAUGCUUGUGGGACAGCAAACAACCAGGAACCCAUACAACUUCGACUAAUGGUUACGCCUUGUCCUCACUCUGACCUCUUCUUUCUUUAUUCCUGGAGGGGGAACAGAUCCCCGUCUCCCCGACACAGCACUUUCUAUACUUUUUAAUCGCCUUUCUCUGAAAAAUUGUACCCUUGAGGUAGGGUGUGUCUCUUUGAACUUUGAGUCAACAGGGCUAGAUACAGUGCCUGGCUUGUAGAGGACUUGUAAUAAUCGUUUGUUGAAUGGUGAAUAAAUGACAGAGCCAGGACUGGA
Non-coding RNA from Vicugna pacos (alpaca), 6451 nucleotides. Lineage: Eukaryota; Metazoa; Chordata; Mammalia; Artiodactyla; Camelidae. The record is from RefSeq and is a predicted model, not a curated record.